AGAGAGAGAGAGAGAGAGAGAGAGAGGGGACGUCUUCUCUCUCUCUAACGACAAGGGGAAGAAUGGGUGACUCAGGAAUUCCUUUCCUUCGUCUUUACGAAAACCUUGGCUCCUCUCUUUCUCUCGUUGCGUCUGGCAGUUUUCUUAGAGAGAGAAAGGGUGAAGGAAAAUGCCUGUUGGAGAUCUGCAGAACGAAGGAUUAUUCCAGCACCAUCAGAUACAUUUGAGAUUUUGUUGGAGGAGAGAGAGGGUACGUAGGUUUUAGAGAGAGAGAGAGAGAAAGUUUUAGAGAGAGAAAGAGUGAGCGAGUUUUAGAGAGAGAGAGGUGAUGGGGGCCCAACUGGGAACGGAAGGGAGGUAUUUGUGAGGGUUUGGCUUGGAUUUCGGUCCGCUUCUCAAGUGAUAACGUGGUUUACGUG
Molecule: long non-coding RNA, 419 nt
Filed under: Amborella trichopoda
Lineage: Eukaryota; Viridiplantae; Streptophyta; Magnoliopsida; Amborellales; Amborellaceae
Description: long non-coding RNA (ATRI_LNC004918)
Source: RNAcentral